AUCUCGGCUCACUGCAACCUCCACCUCCCAGGUUCAAGCGAUUCUCUUGCCUCAGCCUCCUGAGUAGCUGGGAUGCCUGGCUCGUACAACUUUGGACUCACAAUUUCAAUUCUAGGGAAUUGACCUAGAGAUAUAGUUGUACAAAAGGACUAUGGGCAAACACUACUGGAAAUAACAAAGCAACAAACUUAAUCUAAAUAUGUAUUGAUACAAAUCUGUUCAUUGUAUUAGGUCCAGCCAUGCAAUAAAGUUCUUGAAAGGAAUGAGAUAGCUAUUUUUGGUGCUGAAAAAGACCUCAGAAAACCUAUGAAGUGAAAAAACAAAGCCGAAGUAAUUAUAACUGGCAGAGGAAUAGACAGAGAUUUCUCAACAGUUGCAGUAUUGACAUUUUGGACAGGAUAAUUCUUUGUUUGCGGAUGAGAGCUCUUCUGAAUGCACUAUUAAGGGAGAAAUUCUGUAAAAAUAUAUAAAAGCAAAUACAUAAUGAAGAUUGAUAAACUGAAUGAUACUGAGGUGAAAAACCUAUGUUAAUCAAAAGAUCGCACCACUGCACUGCAGCCUGGGCAACAGAGCGAGACUCCAUCACUAAAAAUAAAGAAAGAAAGUGAAAUCUCAGUUUAUCAAGUAUGCCAACAGAUUAACAACAUUUCAAGACACUUUGUUGUAAACUUCAUUGCAGAAGGCUCCCUUGGGAGUAAGGUAGUAGUAACAUUUAUUUCUGUGCUUUUCCAUAUUAUUCUGUCAGGUAUUGAAAUGUUUUUCAACAAGUUGCUUUUUGUUUUAAAGGUAUUUCGGGUACUUGGAGAAUUGUAAAUAUUAUGUUUUGUACCCUUUUUAGUCAUAAGUUUCCAGAAGAGGGUAAGGGUAUGAAUAGACUUUACACAUGAAAGAGUGAAACACUUUGUUAUGUAACAUGUAUAGUAAGUUUUUUUAUUUUUUCCUUUGUUUUUAUUUGCCUGUUUUUGGUAAUCCAGAUUGAGAAGGCCUGAACUUUCAUGAGUUGAGUUCGUAUAUAGUUUCAAAGUUCCUGAAUUGAUUUGGAUACCUCCCUCUUUUUGACUACCUUGAAAACUCUAGUGAACUCUCUUAAUCACAGGAGAAUUGGACUGGGAUCUCUGAGUUGUGAUUUCAGUAAAUUCUGUUCUCUUUUAAUUUUUUAUGAAGCAGCAUUUAUAUACAGCCUUGAUUACUUGUGCAAGUCACUUCCAAAUUCUAAUGAGAAACUGUCUCUGGACUUUUAUAUUUUCUUAGAUCUACAGUGUAAAUACCAAGAAAGCAUUUCAUAUCUAAUGUAAGAAUGCACUGAAACUUUGAUAUUAUUCUGCAAAGGCCAUGAGAAAGAUGAUUACUUUGGAGACUUAUUACUUGGGAUGUUUGCUUUUAAAAUGAGAGCAGAUUCUUCCCAAACUCCAUAAGUAGGAACGUGACUAUAAGGAAAAUCUGUGAACCCCAUAUACCUACAAACUUUGGGUAGGAAUUAAAAUGUGUACUAUUCUUGAAAUGUUAACUCACUGUUACAUCUUGGGGGGUGUGAUUUUAAUCAGGAUAGAGUAUUGUCAGAUUGUUACUUGCUGGGACACAUCCAAAUUUUGAGGUUGUAGUCUUACUACAUUAUUUGUCUAUUUGAUGCCUUCCCCUUUUUUCUUUGAUACAUUUGCAUAAAGCACAAUGGCACUUUUUCACUAGAAAUGUUUCUAAAACCCAAAUCAUUUCUUCAUUUGUGUGUGGUAAAAACAAGCUUCAGGAAAAAAGUUAUUAGAAUUUUUAAAAAUAGUUAUAAAAUUAUAGCAAAGCUCAUGAAUAGUUACUGAAGAUUACUUUACUACUUUGUGAAUAGCAAGUUGACAAAAAUAAUUUACGGUUCCUGCUUGACUUUCUCUCCUCUAAGUGGCAUAAAGUAGAACUAGAGUUUUUUUGUUUUGGUUUUGACUCAACUUAGAAGAUUUGUUUUAAAGUUCUGAAGUUUUGUCCCAGGAAAAUAAGGUUGUUUUCCAUGUAGAGAAUGUAAAAUUACAUAUGGCAUCUGGUAGGCUGAAUUAAUUCCAUUUCCUUGUUACCUUCCAUGGAAGAAGUUUCCAAUAAAAAAAAUCUUUUCUGGGCAGGGCAUAGUGGUUCACGCCUAUAAUCCCAGCACUAUGGGAGGCCG
Molecule: long non-coding RNA, 2146 nt
Organism: Cercocebus atys (sooty mangabey)
Lineage: Eukaryota; Metazoa; Chordata; Mammalia; Primates; Cercopithecidae
Exons: 3
Source: RefSeq, a predicted model, not a curated record